ACCCUCCUCUUAAUUCCUCGCAUCUCAACGUUAACUGCUAUUUCACUACACUACUAUCACUGAUUCUUUCCCUUGCACAUACCUCAAGUGCUUUUGCCUCUAAUUGCUGGACUUUUGAACCAUGAAAUAUCACAAGAUACUAUUUUAACUAUUUAAAAAAUUAUCUAUGGCUCACUUGGUUUACUGUUCACGUCUCACUGCUAGUCCCGUCUGCAUAAGCUAUACUUCAUCAUGUAUUAUAUAGGCUACACCAUUAUAGUUAAAUUUGGGGCAUAUCUUGUGAUUAUACUUUUUAAUUUUGAUGUCUACAAAUUAUCGGAAAAUCAGCUGAAGCUUUUAUUUUCAGGCGUAUUCUGUGGGAAGGGCUUUGACUUUGAAGUUGAAGGAGCUCAUACCACGACAAAUGUUUAAAGUACCAAUUCAAGCAUGUAUAGGAUCAAAAGUGAUUGCCAGCGAAGCGAUAUCUGCAAUACGGAAGGAUGUACUAGCCAAAUGCUACGGUGGUGAUAUUACAAGAAAAAAGAAAUUGCUUAAGAAACAGU
Non-coding RNA from Vigna umbellata (rice bean), 542 nucleotides. NCBI's taxonomy places the organism in Eukaryota, Viridiplantae, Streptophyta, Magnoliopsida, Fabales, Fabaceae. The record is from RefSeq and is a predicted model, not a curated record.